CCUACGGGAGGCUGCAGUGGGGAAUAUUGCACAAUGGGCGCAAGCCUGAUGCAGCCAUGCCGCGUGUGUGAAGAAGGCCUUCGGGUUGUAAAGCACUUUCAGCGGGGAGGAAGGCGUUAAGGUUAAUAACCUUGUCGAUUGACGUUACCCGCAGAAGAAGCACCGGCUAACUCCGUGCCAGCAGCCGCGGUAAUACGGAGGGUGCAAGCGUUAAGCGGAAUUACUGGGCGUAAAGCGCACGCAGGCGGUCUGUCAAGUCGGAUGUGAAAUCCCCGGGCUCAACCUGGGAACUGCAUUCGAAACUGGGAGGCUAGAGUCUUGUAGAGGGGGGUAGAAUUCCAGGUGUAGCGGUGAAAUGCGUAGAGAUCUGGAGGAAUACCGGUGGCGAAGGCGGCCCCCUGGACAAAGACUGACGCUCAGGUGCGAAAGCGUGGGGAGCAAACAGGAUUAGAUACCCGGGUAGUC
This 465-nucleotide ribosomal RNA is filed under the name uncultured Klebsiella sp. RNAcentral describes it as "bacterial SSU rRNA". It matches the Rfam family "Bacterial small subunit ribosomal RNA", at positions 338 to 795 of the family's 1533-position model. Lineage: Bacteria; Pseudomonadati; Pseudomonadota; Gammaproteobacteria; Enterobacterales; Enterobacteriaceae. The record is from RNAcentral.